GAUGAACGCUGGCGGCGUGCCUAAUACAUGCAAGUCGAGCGAACAGACGAGGAGCUUGCUCCUCUGACGUUAGCGGCGGACGGGUGAGUAACACGUGGAUAACCUACCUAUAAGACUGGGAUAACUUCGGGAAACCGGAGCUAAUACCGGAUAAUAUAUUGAACCGCAUGGUUCAAUAGUGAAAGACGGUUUUGCUGUCACUUAUAGAUGGAUCCGCGCCGCAUUAGCUAGUUGGUAAGGUAACGGCUUACCAAGGCAACGAUGCGUAGCCGACCUGAGAGGGUGAUCGGCCACACUGGAACUGAGACACGGUCCAGACUCCUACGGGAGGCAGCAGUAGGGAAUCUUCCGCAAUGGGCGAAAGCCUGACGGAGCAACGCCGCGUGAGUGAUGAAGGUCUUCGGAUCGUAAAACUCUGUUAUUAGGGAAGAAAAACUGUGUAAGUAACUCCGGACGUCUUGACGGUACCUAAUGAGAAAGCCACGGCUAACUACGUG
Molecule: ribosomal RNA, 497 nt
Filed under: uncultured bacterium
Lineage: Bacteria
Description: partial 16S ribosomal RNA
Rfam family: Bacterial small subunit ribosomal RNA
Source: RNAcentral